AUAGAAAUUACCGUAAAUGACCUAAUCAGAAUCGAAAUAAUUGAUUAUCACUCUGGCAAAAAUAAUCACGAAUAUAAUGCCUACCCAUGUUAAAACUACAAUAAAGUAUAGCUGGCAUCAAUUAUUUCUUAAAUAAAGUACAAUUCUUAAAUAGGUACUGGAGUUUGAAUUACGAUUUUUACCCAUGUCUGUGUUGUUUGGGUAAAAAGCAUGAUAAAAAGAGAAACUAUCAACAAUAACAAAAGAAAAAAAAAGGGAAACAAAAUCAGCAGCAGUAAAAGAUCAAUCAACUGAAAUUCUAGUCAUGAAUAUAUUCUAGCGUAAUACAUUGGAGCUUGGCUUUCUAAUUUCCAUAAAAACAUACUGCAUUCUAUUUCAAAAAUGAAAUGCCGACUAGCGGUAUUUUUAAAAUACAUUGUACUUAUUCAAGACGAG
This 435-nucleotide long non-coding RNA is filed under the name Mytilus galloprovincialis (Mediterranean mussel). Lineage: Eukaryota; Metazoa; Mollusca; Bivalvia; Mytilida; Mytilidae. The record is from RNAcentral.